GCGGGUUGUUAAGUGAGGGGUGAAAUCCUAGAGCUCAACUCUGGAACUGCAUUUCAUACUGGCAAGCUAGAGUCCGGAAGAGGUAAGUGGAACUCCUAGUGUAGAGGUGGAAUUCGUAGAUAUUAGGAAGAACACCAGUGGCGAAGGCGGCUUACUGGUCCGGAACUGACGCUGAGGUGCGAAAGCGUGGGGAGCAA
This 197-nucleotide ribosomal RNA is filed under the name uncultured bacterium. RNAcentral's name for it is "partial 16S ribosomal RNA". It matches the Rfam family "Bacterial small subunit ribosomal RNA", at positions 575 to 771 of the family's 1533-position model. The record is from RNAcentral.